GACGAACGCUGGCGGCGUGCCUAAUACAUGCAAGUAGAACGCUGAAGGAGGAGCUUGCUUCUCUGGAUGAGUUGCGAACGGGUGAGUAACGCGUAGGUAACCUGCCUGGUAGCGGGGGAUAACUAUUGGAAACGAUAGCUAAUACCGCAUAAUAGUAGAUGUUGCAUGACAUUUGCUUAAAAGGUGCAAUUGCAUCACUACCAGAUGGACCUGCGUUGUAUUAGCUAGUUGGUGAGGUAACGGCUCACCAAGGCAACGAUACAUAGCCGACCUGAGGGGGGGAUCGGCCACACUGGGACUGAGACACGGCCCAGACUCCUACGGGAGGCAGCAGUAGGGAAUCUUCGGCAAUGGACGGAAGUCUGACCGAGCAACGCCGCGUGAGUGAAGAAGGUUUUCGGAUCGUAAAGCUCUGUUGUAAGAGAAGAACGAGUGUGAGAGUGGAAAGUUCACACUGUGACGGUAUCUUACCAGAAAGGGACGGCUAACUACGUG
Molecule: ribosomal RNA, 495 nt
Filed under: uncultured bacterium
Lineage: Bacteria
Description: partial 16S ribosomal RNA
Rfam family: Bacterial small subunit ribosomal RNA
Source: RNAcentral